AAAGUGCUCACCCCCGGCACAGCCGGACGUUUGGGGGCCUUCUUUCAGCAGGGGACAGCCUGACUGGGGUGAGCGUCCCCUGCCCUCCCCCCCGGGCCUCCCCCCUCGCCUGGCUGGGCCACCUAUUUUGGGAGCAGGAGUGGCCAAGCCCGUGGCUUUCCAGGCAGGCCUGACCCAAGAGGAAGGGAGCGUGGUGGGGACAGUGGGGUUCCCCGGGAGCGGGAGUGCGGGGCGCAAGUCCUCCCUCCCCUGCUGCAGAGCGUGCGCCCUGCUUGGGGUGGGUUUGGGACACUCACGUGUGUGGGUCAGAUUGCGUCACUGUUUGGGAGCACGGGAGGCUCAGAUGAGGAGUAUCGUAUUCGUGACUGUCUCCACCCCACAUCUUGCUCCAACCAGAGGUUUGGGGGGUGGGCGUUGUCACUGCGUGUGCUCGUGUGCUCGCGUGUGUGUGUGUGUGUGUGUGUGUGUGUGUCCCUGCCCCUGGCAUCUGUCUUCUGUCUCUCAGCCUGGCUGGUCUGGGCCUCAUGCGACUCGCCUGGUGUCUGCCUAUGAAAGUCACCCAGAGGCAGGCAGACAGGGAUGUUUUCCCCUGUUCUCAUCAUUUCCAGAAAGAGAGAAGGGGUGGCCUUCCCCACAGGGGCAGCCUGUAGCCGUGUGGCAGCCCGGCCUCACCCUGGCAGGGUUGGGAAUGACCCCCCAGUGGGGGAAGGAAGGCUGUUGCCAUGGUGGCCUGUGUGAGGCAAAUUCCUCCAGGGUGAAGUGGGAGAUAUUUAUACCCAGGGUCAGGCAGAGAGCCGGCCAGCGGCCGAGGGCAGGAGAGCUGGGAUAUCACACGGACGCAGCAGGGCCGUGGUGGGAGGGCAGGUGGGCCCUUGCAUGUGUCUCUCACCCCUCCCCGUGUGUCUGUCUCUCAGUCUGGGUGGGGCGAGCCAUCCCAGUCUUCCCAUUGGGUAGGUGUGGGGAAUCUGGCGCCUGCUGUAGGGCGGCCCAGGCCUCCGGGAGACCCCUGUGACUGUGUGUCUCACCCCUGCCCAUUGUGGCUUGUUUUGGUGACACUGUGUCUGCAUGAAGCAGGGGGUGCCCCUGUUUCUCAAAGUGGCCAAGCUGGAUGAUGGACGUUUUUGGAAUCACACCCCCCCCCCCCCGGGAGUCUGAUUUAACCCCUUGGGUUCAAGCCCCAAUGGUGGGGGUACUAGGAAACACGUUUCUUGACCCUUGGUGUUCUCCAGGACAAUGGCAUCUCUCCACCACAUCUUGGUUCUCUGUGUGGGUUUCCUCGCCAUGGCCAACGCAGGUGAGUCUGGGGUAGGUAGCCCGCUACCCACCUCGGCCCCGAGGGAGGGGAGGGAAGCCUUUCAAGAGAACCAAGUUGGAGACUCCAACUUAAACAGAGUCAGUGGGGUACCAGGAAAUUGGAGGUUUCACGUGGGGGAGGGGAGGGGAGGAUGCCCAGGGCAGACAAAGGUGGAGGGUGGGAUGGAGCCCCACUUCCCGCACAGGACAGAAUCAAGGACAACACGGGAUGAGGCGGGAAGCUGUAACAGUUAAGUGACCACCUGCCCCCCCACCCCUGCCCCAGGACAGUGCAGAUGAGGCAGCUAAGACCCAGAGAGGGGUGGACAGCCUGUUCAGGGUCCAAUAGUCCCCAGACUCUCAGCCCAGGACAGGAAAGCCCCCAAAGGUCUCUUUAUGCCCCUUCCUGUCCAGGGCCCCAGGAAGCAUCCAACCCUUGACUUCUUUCUCUUUCCAGAGGCUCCACAGGAACACGAUCCAUUCACCUAUGGUGAGGGAGGGAGGGGCAUCUAUGCUUGGGAGUUGGGAGGGUGGGUGGCCUGGGUUUGCCGGUCCUGUUCCCACUCCUCCUCAUCUCUCUCUUCCUUUAUCUCUGACUCAGUAUUUAUAUCUCUGUCAGUCUCCUUCUCUCUCUUUCUCUUGUCUCUCAGAAGGCUGACUCCUUCUUGUUUUUAUCUCCCCUUGUCUGUGUCUCCGUGUGUCUAUUUGACCCCUCCCUGUCUCUCUGAUUCUCUUUCUCCUUUUACCUCUCAAUGUCUUACGGCUCAUCCUCUGCGGCCAUCUCCCUUUCUCCCCUCUGUUCCCCUCAUCCUCUCCAUCAUCCUCCCCUACUUUCUUGUUUCCUCCCUCCUCCCUGCCCUGCCUACCUCUUCCUUUUCCUUCCCACCCCCUCCUCUCCCCAUCCCUCUUCUCUUCCUCCCACAUCUGUUUCCUCCUCUCAUUGAUCUCUCUGUUCUCCUCCCUGAUCCUCCUUGCCCCUUCCUCCCCAUUUUGCCCCUCUCCUGUCCUUCCUCCUCCCCUCCCUGUUCUCACUCUCCUCCCUGCCGCCCACAGACUACAAAACCCUGCGGAUCGGAGGCCUUAUCAUCGCCGGGAUCCUCUUCAUCCUGGGUAUCCUCAUCGUUCUGAGUGAGUACCCCCACCCUGCUACCUCCAGCUCCGAGUGGGUACCCGUAUCCGCCUCGCCCCAACCCCGGCUGUGUCCCCACGGCUCCGCCCCUCGCGAGCCGGCGCUGGCGCUCGAGCGCCGCUCGGUGCCCGCCCGGAGCGGAAUCUCAGCCCUGCCCUCCUACCCCCACCCACAGGCAGAAGAUGCCGGUGCAAAUUCAACCAGCAGCAGAGGUAAGAGGCCCCUCGGGGCUCUCACUCUCCUCCUUCCGCUCCAGAAGGGCGCCGGGAGUGAGGCAGGGAGUCCACUCGACCCACAGCCAGAGACCCUUCGGCAAAUACGUAUUAAGCACCUACUACGUGCCAAGCCGCAAGCCAGGCCCUGGGGACCAAACGGCGACUAACUAAACUGCCCUCCCUGCCUGGCUGAGCUCCCAGCCCAGUGGGGGCGGCGGCCGUGGGUUCCCGCAGCCCCACAAAUAUAAAAGCACAAAGCGUGAUAAGUGCUGUGAAAGAAGGAGCCACGGCGAAAUGAGAUCACCGCACUUGGCGGCCCAGUUUAGCUCAGAGUCCUGUUCCCAGCUCUUUGAUUCAUCUCUAAAUAAAAAUUUAAAGCAAUGUAUGAAUCCCUUCUCCGUGUGAAAACAAUUCUAAAUGUUAUUUUAAAGAAUAGCUAAUGUUUAGUCCCACGUGCUGAAAGAUAUUGUUUUAUCGUGUAUUAUGUUAUUUCCUCCUCACACCCCUUGCAUGAGACUGUCGUUGACAACCUCAUUUUAUCGAGGAGGAAACCGAGGCGCAGGGAGGUGAAGUCACUUGCCCGAGAUCACUCAGCUAGAAGAUGAGGGUUCUGGGUUUCUAACCUAGGCUGUCUCCAGGCCGUCUGUCCUCAAGCCCUUCGGCCAUCCCUCCCCCACCAACUUCCAGUCUCUUCCCCAGCACUCCGGGAGGCGCUUGGAGCGCGUCCUGCCACACGCUUAAACUGCUCCUGGGUGCGCCCGAUUUUCUAGUUUCUGGCGGCCCCCGAGCCUGCUCCUCGCCGGUCUCUGGCCCUCGGUACCGGGGUCUGUGAAAUGAGGGCUGUACUGGGGGGCUCCUGGGAGCAUCUGCCUCUCUUUUUCAUCCCCACGUCCUUCUGCCUCUCCUUUCCCAGGACUGGGGAACCGGAUGAAGAGGAGGGAACUUUCCGCAGCUCCAUCCGCCGUGAGUCUGGGGGAGACUUUGGGUGUUUGGGGGUGGGGGCUGGUUCCAAGAACCCCUUUCCUGGUCCUCUCUGGGCGUGCGGAGGGAGGGACUUGAUCCGACAGCGAAGGUCCGGGAGUUCCCCUGUCGCUCCCCCCUCCGCGGGAGCUGGGGUGCCCCUCCUGACACCCGAACUCUCCGUGUUCCCCCUCAGGUCUGUCCACCCGCAGGCGGUAGAGACACCUGGCGCGAUGGAACCCAGCCAGGUCCUGCAGCUCGGGCUAGGCUGGGGGAGGGGGGCAGGAGAAGGGGACGAAGGGUGGGAUGAGAUGGCUGGGGGGCUCUGUUGCCCCUCACCCUUUUCGCCCCCACAGGAUUCCCCUGGCACCUGGCGCCCCCCACCCACCACCUGAGCACCACCACCACCUGGACUGCCCUCUUCCCCAGCCCUGCCCCCACAGACUCCUCUCUGCCGCCCAGACUUCAAUAAAACGUGCUUUUCUCUCUCGACAGCGCUUUAUGGAUCUGUCAGUCCCUCUGCGCGAAAGCCCGGGCGCCCCCUGGGCCCCGGCAGGGGGCGCCCCCACCCUUGGGGAAGGGGCGGGGACGUCGGCAGUGGGCGGGGGCGGGGGCGGGGGUGGCCGGGACGGGGGCGGGCUCUCCGGGCCCCCAUUGGCUACGGCACCCCCCACACGAGGGCUCCCCCAUCGCCCCCCGACAUCAGUCCGUCCCGCUUCCAGCUGCCGCAGCCGCGCCUUCACCACCUCGGCCUCCAGCCGCCCCCUGCUCCGGUCCGGCAUGGCGACCCCGACCCAGGCCCCCACAAA
RNAcentral lists this long non-coding RNA (4406 nucleotides) under Lynx pardinus (Iberian lynx). Lineage: Eukaryota; Metazoa; Chordata; Mammalia; Carnivora; Felidae. The record is from RNAcentral.